CAAACGAGGUAGUAACACGUAGGUAGACCCCCCAGAGUCGGGCAUAGCCAGCCGAAAGGUUGGGUAAUUCCCGAUAGUCCCGAAAGGGUAAAGGUUUUUUCGCUCUGGGAGUUGCCUGCGUAGUAUCAGCUAGUUGGUAGGGUAAUGGCCUACCAAGGCUACGACGCUUAGGGGAGCUGAGAGGCUGACCCCCACCGAUGGAACUGCGACACGGUCCAUACUCCUACGGGAGGCUGCAGACGAGAAUAUUCCGCAAUGGGCGAAAGCCUGACGGAGCGACGCCGCGUGAUUGAUGAAGUGCUUCGGUACGUAAAGAUCUUUUAUCGGGGACGAAGUUUAUUGACGGUACCCGAUGAAUAAGGGGCUCCUAACUCUGUG
RNAcentral lists this ribosomal RNA (378 nucleotides) under uncultured bacterium. RNAcentral describes it as "bacterial SSU rRNA". It matches the Rfam family "Bacterial small subunit ribosomal RNA", at positions 99 to 507 of the family's 1533-position model. The record is from RNAcentral.